Molecule: ribosomal RNA, 253 nt
Filed under: uncultured bacterium
Lineage: Bacteria
Description: partial 16S ribosomal RNA
Rfam family: Bacterial small subunit ribosomal RNA
Source: RNAcentral
UACAGAGGUCCCGAGCGUUACUGAGAAUCACUGGGUUUAAAGGGUGCGUAGGUGGUCCGUUAAGUUCGUUGUGAAAUCCCUGGGCUCAACCCAGGAACUGCUUCGAAUACUGGCGGACUUGAGGCCGGUAGGGGUCACUGGAACUGACGGUGGAGCGGUGAAAUGCGUAGAUAUCGUCAGGAACGCCGAUGGUGAAGACAGGUGACUGGGCCGGAUCUGACACUGAGGCACGAAAGCGUGGGGAGCGAACGGG